UGACCAGUCUGGGUAUCUGCCCGCCGUCU
This 29-nucleotide non-coding RNA is filed under the name Rattus norvegicus (Norway rat). Lineage: Eukaryota; Metazoa; Chordata; Mammalia; Rodentia; Muridae. The record is from RNAcentral.